AAAACUUUCAACAACGGAUCUCUUGGUUCUGGCAUCGAUGAAGAACGCAGCGAAAUGCGAUAAGUAAUGUGAAUUGCAGAAUUCAGUGAAUCAUCGAAUCUUUGAACGCACAUUGCGCCCGCCAGCAUCCUGGCGGGCAUGCCUAUUCGAGCGUCAUUU
RNAcentral lists this ribosomal RNA (159 nucleotides) under Hypoxylon sp. JP5613. Its description in RNAcentral is "5.8S ribosomal RNA". It matches the Rfam family "5.8S ribosomal RNA". Rfam says of the family: 5.8S ribosomal RNA (5.8S rRNA) is a component of the large subunit of the eukaryotic ribosome. It is transcribed by RNA polymerase I as part of the 45S precursor that also contains 18S and 28S rRNA. Functionally, it is thought that 5.8S rRNA may be involved in ribosome translocation. The record is from RNAcentral. Lineage: Eukaryota; Fungi; Ascomycota; Sordariomycetes; Xylariales; Hypoxylaceae.